Molecule: long non-coding RNA, 379 nt
Filed under: Junco hyemalis (dark-eyed junco)
Lineage: Eukaryota; Metazoa; Chordata; Aves; Passeriformes; Passerellidae
Description: lncRNA (ENSJHYG00000003502.1)
Source: RNAcentral
CCAGGACAGCAGAAACAAUAAUUAGUGCAAAGGCGUGUGGGGAAUGUCUCGCUCGCACCGAGGACAGCGCGGAGCCGCACCACCCACGAGGCAUCACUGGGAUGAUGACUUAAUUGAAAAGAGUUGCUCAAGCAUGUACCAGGCCUGGCACAGAGUGAGAAACUUCUGCUUCAGCUGGUUGCAUUCAUGUGCUCAGGCCACUUCAGCACUUCAGAUCCCAAAUGAAACAAGAAAUGGGAGGAUGCAGAGCAAAGUCCAUGAGUACACAGGCGAGAGGUGGAGUGUUCUACUUCAUUCCAGGGAACAGGAAUCAUAUCUGUACUUUCCUGAGACAUGGCUGGAAAGAAAGAAGGAAUCCUAUGGGCAUUCCCACUGGUGA